GAUGAACGCUGGCGGCGUGCUUAACACGUGCGAGUCGAACGAUGAAGCCCAGCUUGCUGGGUGGAUUAGUGGCGAACGGGUGAGUAACACGUGAGUAACCUGCCCUUAACUCUGGGAUAAGCCUGGGAAACUGGGUCUAAUACCGGAUAGGAGCGCCUACCGCAUGGUGGGUGUUGGAAAGAUUUAUCGGUUUUGGAUGGACUCGCGGCCUAUCAGCUUGUUGGUGAGGUAAUGGCUCACCAAGGCGACGACGGGUAGCCGGCCUGAGAGGGUGACCGGCCACACUGGGACUGAGACACGGCCCAGACUCCUACGGGAGGCAGCAGUGGGGAAUAUUGCACAAUGGGCGAAAGCCUGAUGCAGCGACGCCGCGUGAGGGAUGACGGCCUUCGGGUUGUAAACCUCUUUCAGUAGGGAAGAAGCGAAAGUGACGGUACCUGCAGAAGAAGCACCGGCUAACUACGUG
Molecule: ribosomal RNA, 466 nt
Filed under: uncultured bacterium
Lineage: Bacteria
Description: partial 16S ribosomal RNA
Rfam family: Bacterial small subunit ribosomal RNA
Source: RNAcentral